Hyalella azteca is the source of this 320-nucleotide long non-coding RNA. RefSeq lists it as uncharacterized. The transcript has 3 exons. NCBI's taxonomy places the organism in Eukaryota, Metazoa, Arthropoda, Malacostraca, Amphipoda, Hyalellidae. The record is from RefSeq and is a predicted model, not a curated record.
GGGAAGCUAGGGCACGGCGACAGCAAUAAAUCUUACCGCCCCCGGGCCAUCGAUGGCCUCCUGGGCCUCACCAUCACUAAACUCGCCACCGGCAGCCACGUGUCUCUUGCUCUCACCUCUACCAACGAAGUGUGGUCGUGGGGCAACGGACCGUGUCUGGGGCUGGGCAUCUUAGAAACCCUGGUGCCGCGGCCCAUCGUGCAGCUCAAACCUCACCGCAUCGUGGACAUCGCGGCUGGAGACUCGCAUGUGCUUGCGCUCUCUCACGACUCUCAGGUGUUCGCGUGGGGCGCCAACGCGCAGGGGCAGUGUGGUCAGGG